Molecule: ribosomal RNA, 465 nt
Filed under: uncultured Klebsiella sp.
Lineage: Bacteria; Pseudomonadati; Pseudomonadota; Gammaproteobacteria; Enterobacterales; Enterobacteriaceae
Description: bacterial SSU rRNA
Rfam family: Bacterial small subunit ribosomal RNA
Source: RNAcentral
CCUACGGGCGGCUGCAGUGGGGAAUAUUGCACAAUGGGCGCAAGCCUGAUGCAGCCAUGCCGCGUGUGCGAAGAAGGCCUUCGGGUUGUAAAGCACUUUCAGCGGGGAGGAAGGCGGUGAGGUUAAUAACCUCAUCGAUUGACGUUACCCGCAGAAGAAGCACCGGCUAACUCCGUGCCAGCAGCCGCGGUAAUACGGAGGGUGCAAGCGUUAAUCGGAAUUACUGGGCGUAAAGCGCACGCAGGCGGUCUGUCAAGUCGGAUGUGAAAUCCCCGGGCUCAACCUGGGAACUGCAUUCGAAACUGGCAGGCUAGAGUCUUGUAGAGGGGGGUAGAAUUCCAGGUGUAGCGGUGAAAUGCGUAGAGAUCUGGAGGAAUACCGGUGGCGAAGGCGGCCCCCUGGACAAAGACUGACGCUCAGGUGCGAAAGCGUGGGGAGCAAACAGGAUUAGAUACCCGUGUAGUC